GACGAACGCUGGCGGCGUGCUUAACACAUGCAAGUCGAACGGAAAGGCCCUGCUUUUGUGGGGUGCUCGAGUGGCGAACGGGUGAGUAACACGUGAGUAACCUGCCCUUGACUUUGGGAUAACUUCAGGAAACUGGGGCUAAUACCGGAUAGGAGCUCCUGCUGCAUGGUGGGGGUUGGAAAGUUUCGGCGGUUGGGGAUGGACUCGCGGCUUAUCAGCUUGUUGGUGGGGUAGUGGCUUACCAAGGCUUUGACGGGUAGCCGGCCUGAGAGGGUGACCGGCCACAUUGGGACUGAGAUACGGCCCAGACUCCUACGGGAGGCAGCAGUGGGGAAUAUUGCACAGUGGGCGGAAGACUGAUGCAGCAACGCCGCGUGCGGGAUGACGGCCUUCGGGUUGUAAACCGCUUUCGCCUGUGACGAAGCGUGAGUGACGGUAAUGGGUAAAGAAGCACCGGCUAACUACGUG
RNAcentral lists this ribosomal RNA (468 nucleotides) under uncultured bacterium. RNAcentral's name for it is "partial 16S ribosomal RNA". It matches the Rfam family "Bacterial small subunit ribosomal RNA", at positions 28 to 507 of the family's 1533-position model. The record is from RNAcentral.